UGCAAGUCGAGCGGAUUGAUGGGAGCUUGCUCCCUGAUAUCAGCGGCGGACGGGUGAGUAACACGUGGGUAACCUGCCUGUAAGACUGGGAUAACUCCGGGAAACCGGGGCUAAUACCGGAUAACUCAUUUCCUCGCAUGAGGAAAUGUUGAAAGAUGGCUUCUUGCUAUCCCUUACAAAUGGACCCGCGGCGCAUUACCUAGUUGGGGAGGUAACGGCUCACCAAGGCAACAAUGCGUACCCAACCUGAAAGGGGGAUCGGCCACCCUGGGACUGAAACACGGCCCAAACUCCUACGGAAGGCAGCAGUAGGGAAUCUUCCGCAAUGAACAAAAGUCUGACGGACCAACGCCCCGUGAGUGAUGAAGGUUUUCGAAUCGUAAAGCUCUGUUGUUAGGGAAAAACAAGUGCCGUUCGAAUAGGGCGGCACCUUGACGGUACCUAACCAAAAAGCCACGGUUAACUACUUGCCACCACCCGCGGUAUUACUUAGGUGGCAAGCGUUGUCCGGAAUUAUUGGGCGUAAAGCGCGCGCAGGUGGUUUCUUAAGUCUGAUGUGAAAGCCCACGGCUCAACCGUGAAGGGUCAUUGAAAACUGGGAAACUUGAUUGCAAAGGAGGAAAGUGAAAUUCCAAGUGUAGCGCUGAAAUGCGUAAAUAUUUGAAGAAACACCAUUGGCGAAGGCAACUUUCUGGUCUGUAACUGACACUGAGGCCCGAAAGCGUGGGGAGCAACCAGGAUUAAAUACCCUGUUAGUCCACCCCGUAAACAAUGAUUGCUAAUUGUUAGGGGGUUUCCCCCCUCUAUUGCUGCAGCUAACGAAUAAGCACUUCCGCUUGGGGAGGCCCGCCCAUCCGGUGAACCAUGUGUUAAAUUCAAAGCAACCCAAAAACCUUACCCGGGUCUGAACUUCUCUUGACAACCCUAAAAAUUGGGCUUUCCCCUUUCGGGGCC
This 954-nucleotide ribosomal RNA is filed under the name Rossellomorea vietnamensis. RNAcentral's name for it is "bacterial SSU rRNA". It matches the Rfam family "Bacterial small subunit ribosomal RNA", at positions 56 to 1028 of the family's 1533-position model. The record is from RNAcentral. Lineage: Bacteria; Bacillati; Bacillota; Bacilli; Caryophanales; Bacillaceae.